Adelges cooleyi (spruce gall adelgid) is the source of this 1541-nucleotide long non-coding RNA. RefSeq lists it as uncharacterized. Lineage: Eukaryota; Metazoa; Arthropoda; Insecta; Hemiptera; Adelgidae. The transcript has 6 exons. The record is from RefSeq and is a predicted model, not a curated record.
UAUUAAUUAAUGAACCGAUGAAAAAAGGUCGGUUUUAUUAUAUUUUCAAGGUAGAUACCUAUUUAACUAUUUUUAACUAACUUGUUUUCAUCUUAAUGUAAAAUAAAUUGGUGGCGGUGGGCGCUGUUAUCACUAUUUAACCAAAUAUUAUCACAGAAUAUUCAGAAAGGUAACUUUAAGCAAAUAGACGGGCUCUUAUGAGCCGCUGACAAAGGCAUACUAUUAUUGCCUUAGCGACUGGAAUCCAAACUAUAAUAGGAUUCAAAGAAAAAGCAUAAUAAUUCUAUUCCAAUUCGAUUUUUGCUUCAUCCGUCAGAAUAUAAGUCGUGUGGAUUUUUUGUAUAAAACGAUAUGUCAUUCGAUAAAAGAGGACUUCGGUGUGCGACGACCAUCUCUGAUAACGCUGUAAUUCACUGUGUGGACAGUUUGAUGGACCGUUCUCCAUACGCAAAAAGCCCUCCAAUUAGAUAAUAUCUCGUUGGACCAUCGUGAAAAUUACAGGAAAUGUCGUGAUGACUGCGAGUCCGGUCGAUCUUCACUGAAGAAGCCUAUAUUAAUCUGUACAUUUAACAGUAAAUUCGACUGAAUAAGAAUUUUAUAGUCAACUACCAACACAUGCUCUAUAUUAUUGUAAGCUUUACUUGUAUGGAUCGUCGGCUGUGGUGAAAGAACGACUGUUGAUCUUGUAACCGAUAUUAUUAUGGUUCAAAUAAUUGUCUAUUCAUUUGAUUGUUUCAUUCCGGUAGGCCGACAUCCAAUUUGCUGACCACCUUAAUCGCCGACAAUAAGUUUUAAAUAAUUACAGGAACAGAUUUGUGGUUCAACCCGGAGGGAUCACCAACGACCCCGGACCGAACAGUAGCGCUAAUUGUGGACCGAGGAAGUUUAGACAAAGAAGAAAUGAUCCUGUCAAUGGCCUCUUAGUCAAAUUUGUACAGUUAACAGUAAGACUGACCAAAUAAAAGUUGUAUGGUCGACUAUCAACACAUGGUCUAUAUGACUGUAAGCUUUGAUUAUGAGGAUCCUCGGCUGUUGUUAAAGAGCGACUGCUGAUCGGCUAUUGAUUUAGUUUCAUUCUGGUCAACUGACAUUCAAUUAGCAGAGAACGCCAAUCGUCAACAAAUACUUGUAUAUAAUUAUAGGUUUAGCAAUUUAAAUUAAAAGUUAAAAAUUUGUUUAUUAUUAUGCGUGUAGCCAGAAAAAAAUUGAUACAAACUUUUAAUGCCAAAAAAACAUUUUAAAUAUACCUGGAACACCACAUUAGAAUAAUAUUACAUUUCAAUUUAAAACAUUUUUUUUUUACUAUUCAGUACGUAAAAAAACUAAGGAGAUUCGGCCACUAUUUUUUUAUUUUUGCGCCACUUCAUUUAAAUAAUAAUAUAAAUACUUAAAAAGAAACUUAACAAUUUGUGAAAAACCCUGGCAUGAUCGAUGGAAACAUAAUUGUUUAAAUUUUAUUAUAAAGUUUAAAAAUAUUCGAUUGGAAAAUAUUAUUUUAUAAGUUACCUAAAUAUGAUUUAAAAUUUAGGGUAAUUUGUAUC